Molecule: ribosomal RNA, 1158 nt
Filed under: Salmonella enterica
Lineage: Bacteria; Pseudomonadati; Pseudomonadota; Gammaproteobacteria; Enterobacterales; Enterobacteriaceae
Description: partial 23S ribosomal RNA
Rfam family: Bacterial large subunit ribosomal RNA
Source: RNAcentral
GGCUAAACCAUGCACCGAAGCUGCGGCAGCGAACGUAUCACUUAAAGUGAUUCAGCGGGUUACGAUUGACGGAGCGAAGCGACGUCAAAGCGUAUACAAAGUCGAGUCGGUUUAAGGAUACGUUCGUUGGGUAGGGGAGCGUUCUGUAAGCCUGUGAAGGUGGCCUGUGAGGGUUGCUGGAGGUAUCAGAAGUGCGAAUGCUGACAUAAGUAACGAUAAAGCGGGUGAAAAGCCCGCUCGCCGGAAGACCAAGGGUUCCUGUCCAACGUUAAUCGGGGCAGGGUGAGUCGACCCCUAAGGCGAGGCCGAAAGGCGUAGUCGAUGGGAAACGGGUUAAUAUUCCCGUACUUGGUGUUACUGCGAAGGGGGGACGGAGAAGGCUAUGUUGGCCGGGCGACGGUUGUCCCGGUUUAAGCGUGUAGGUGUGUGUUCCAGGUAAAUCCGGUUCACUUUAACACUGAGGCGUGAUGACGAGGCACUACGGUGCUGAAGUAACAAAUGCCCUGCUUCCAGGAAAAGCCUCUAAGCAUCAGGUAACAUCAAAUCGUACCCCAAACCGACACAGGUGGUCAGGUAGAGAAUACCAAGGCGCUUGAGAGAACUCGGGUGAAGGAACUAGGCAAAAUGGUGCCGUAACUUCGGGAGAAGGCACGCUGACACGUAGGUGAAGUGAUUUACUCACGGAGCUGAAGUCAGUCGAAGAUACCAGCUGGCUGCAACUGUUUAUUAAAAACACAGCACUGUGCAAACACGAAAGUGGACGUAUACGGUGUGACGCCUGCCCGGUGCCGGAAGGUUAAUUGAUGGGGUCAGCGCAAGCGAAGCUCCUGAUCGAAGCCCCGGUAAACGGCGGCCGUAACUAUAACGGUCCUAAGGUAGCGAAAUUCCUUGUCGGGUAAGUUCCGACCUGCACGAAUGGCGUAAUGAUGGCCAGGCUGUCUCCACCCGAGACUCAGUGAAAUUGAACUCGCUGUGAAGAUGCAGUGUACCCGCGGCAAGACGGAAAGACCCCGUGAACCUUUACUAUAGCUUGACACUGAACAUUGAGCCUUGAUGUGUAGGAUAGGUGGGAGGCUUUGAAGUGUGGACGCCAGUCUGCAUGGAGCCGACCUUGAAAUACCACCCUUUAAUGUUUGAUGUUCUAACGUGGACCCGUUA